AUUGAACGCUGGCGGCAGGCCUAACACAUGCAAGUCGAGCGGAUGAAGGGAGCUUGCUCCUGGAUUCAGCGGCGGACGGGUGAGUAAUGCCUAGGAAUCUGCCUGGUAGUGGGGGAUAACGUCCGGAAACGGGCGCUAAUACCGCAUACGUCCUGAGGGAGAAAGUGGGGGAUCUUCGGACCUCACGCUAUCAGAUGAGCCUAGGUCGGAUUAGCUAGUUGGUGGGGUAAAGGCCUACCAAGGCGACGAUCCGUAACUGGUCUGAGAGGAUGAUCAGUCACACUGGAACUGAGACACGGUCCAGACUCCUACGGGAAGCAGCAGUGGGGAAUAUUGGACAAUGGGCGAAAGCCUGAUCCAGCCAUGCCGCGUGUGUGAAGAAGGUCUUCGGAUUGUAAAGCACUUUAAGUUGGGAGGAAGGGCAGUAAGUUAAUACCUUGCUGUUUUGACGUUACCAGCAGAAUAAGCACCGGCUAACUUCGUG
Molecule: ribosomal RNA, 484 nt
Filed under: uncultured bacterium
Lineage: Bacteria
Description: partial 16S ribosomal RNA
Rfam family: Bacterial small subunit ribosomal RNA
Source: RNAcentral